RNAcentral lists this ribosomal RNA (599 nucleotides) under uncultured fungus. Its description in RNAcentral is "eukaryotic LSU rRNA". The stretch from base 228 to 381 matches the Rfam family "5.8S ribosomal RNA". The record is from RNAcentral. Lineage: Eukaryota; Fungi.
AGUAAAAGUCGUAACAAGGUUUCCGUAGGUGAACCUGCGGAAGGAUCAUUACCAAAAUAAAAAUUGGCUAUGUCGGGGGACCUGUCGCUACACUCGUGUGAUGCAGGUCCUGUCUGAACCCUUGUCUUUUGCGCACCAUUUGUUUCCUUGGCGGGCUUUGCCCGUCAGCUGGACACUAUUUAACCUCUUGUAAUUUGCAAUCAGCGUCAGAAAAACAUAAUAGUUACAACUUUCAACAACGGAUCUCUUGGUUCUGGCAUCGAUGAAGAACGCAGCGAAAUGCGAAAAGUAGUGUGAAUUGCAGAAUUCAGUGAAUCAUCGAAUCUUUGAACGCACAUUGCGCCCUUUGGUAUUCCAAAGGGCAUGCCUGUUCGAGCGUCAUUUGUACCUUCAAGCACUGCUUGGUGUUGGGUGUUUGUCCCUGUUUUUACGCAUGGACUCGCCUCAAAGCUAUUGGCAGCCGGCAAACAGCCUUGGAGCGCAGCACAUUUUGCGCGCCUUUGCUGGAACGUUGGCGUCCAUCAAGCCUACACUUUUGCUCUUGACCUCGGAUCAGGUAGGGAUACCCGCUGAACUUAAGCAUAUCAAUAAGCGGAGGA